CGAAAGCCUGACGGAGCAAUACCGCGUGCGGGAGGAAGGCCCUUGGGUCGUAAACCGCUUUUCUUAGGGAAGAAACCUGACGGUACCUAAGGAAUAAGCCUCGGCUAACUCCGUGCCAGCAGCCGCGGUAAUACGGAGGAGGCAAGCGUUAUCCGGAAUUAUUGGGCGUAAAGAGUCCGUAGGUGGUUCAUCAAGUCUGCUGUUAAAGCGUGCAGCUCAACUGCAUAUAGGCAGUGGAAACUGUUGAACUAGAGUAUGGUAGGGGUAGGGGGAAUUCCCAGUGUAGCGGUGAAAUGCGUAGAGCUCGGGAAGAACUCCGAUGGCGAAAGCACUCUGCUGGGCCGUGCCUGACACUCAUGGACGAAAGCUAGGGGAGCA
Molecule: ribosomal RNA, 378 nt
Filed under: uncultured cyanobacterium
Lineage: Bacteria; Bacillati; Cyanobacteriota
Description: bacterial SSU rRNA
Rfam family: Bacterial small subunit ribosomal RNA
Source: RNAcentral